GCAGGGUUUCCCGAACUUUGGUCUCCAGCUGCUGUUGGACUACAACUCCCAUCAUCCCUAGCUAGCAGGGAUGAUGGGAACUGUAGUCCAAAAACAGCUGGAGACCUGAGUUUGGGAAACCCUGC
Podarcis lilfordi (Lilford's wall lizard) is the source of this 125-nucleotide non-coding RNA. The record is from the annotation of a GenBank genome assembly. Lineage: Eukaryota; Metazoa; Chordata; Lepidosauria; Squamata; Lacertidae.